Molecule: ribosomal RNA, 466 nt
Filed under: uncultured bacterium
Lineage: Bacteria
Description: partial 16S ribosomal RNA
Rfam family: Bacterial small subunit ribosomal RNA
Source: RNAcentral
GAUGAACGCUGGCGGCGUGCUUAACACAUGCAAGUCGAACGGAAAGGCUCCUGCUUGCAGGGGUACUCGAGUGGCGAACGGGUGAGUAACACGUGGGUGAUCUGCCCUGCACUUCGGGAUAAGCUUGGGAAACUGGGUCUAAUACCGGAUAGGACCGCAUUUUGGAUGGUGUGGUGGAAAGUUUUUUCGGUGUGGGAUGAGCUCGCGGCCUAUCAGCUUGUUGGUGGGGUAAUGGCCUACCAAGGCGUCGACGGGUAGCCGGCCUGAGGGGGUGUACGGCCACAUUGGGACUGAGAUACGGCCCAGACUCCUACGGGAGGCAGCAGUGGGGAAUAUUGCACAAUGGGCGCAAGCCUGAUGCAGCGACGCCGCGUGGGGGAUGACGGCCUUCGGGUUGUAAACUCCUUUCGCUAGGGACGAAGAGUAAUUGACGGUACCUGGAGAAGAAGCACCGGCUAACUACGUG